RNAcentral lists this ribosomal RNA (391 nucleotides) under uncultured Alphaproteobacteria bacterium. RNAcentral's name for it is "bacterial SSU rRNA". It matches the Rfam family "Bacterial small subunit ribosomal RNA", at positions 9 to 425 of the family's 1533-position model. Lineage: Bacteria; Pseudomonadati; Pseudomonadota; Alphaproteobacteria. The record is from RNAcentral.
GAGUUUGAUCAUGGCUCAGAACGAACGCUGGCGGCAUGCCUAACACAUGCAAGUCGAACGCGUGGCUUCGGCCACGAGUGGCGCACGGGUGAGUAGCGCGUGGGAACCUGCCUUUAGGUUCGGGAUAACCGCGGGAAACUGCGGCUAAUACCGGAUGCUCCCUACGGGGAAAAGAUUUAUCGCCUGAAGAGGGGCCCGCGUCCGAUUAGGUAGUUGGUGAGGUAACGGCUCACCAAGCCUUCGAUCGGUAGCUGGUCUGAGAGGAUGAUCAGCCACACUGGGACUGAGACACGGCCCAGACUCCUACGGGAGGCAGCAGUGGGGAAUAUUGGACAAUGGGGGCAACCCUGAUCCAGCAAUGCCGCGUGAGUGAUGAAGGGCCUUCGGGUUG